GGUUAAUUUCGGUCCCAGCACCGCCGGUAAUUAGGAAGGCCACGAGCGUUUUCCGGUUUUUAUGGGGGUAAAGCGGCCAGUGGCGGGUUUUUCAAGUUUGUUUGGGAAAAGCCCUGGGCUUCAACUUGGGGGAGGCCAAGGCGAUACUGGAGGGCCUGGGGGGUGACAGAGGGGAGUGGAAUUUCCGGGUUAGCGGUAAAAUGCGCAGACAUCGGGAGGAACACCAGUGGCGAAGGCGGCUCCCUGGGUCACCCCUGACGCUGAGAGGCGAAAGCUAGGGGAGCAAACAGGAUUAGAGACCCUGGUAGUCCUAGCCCUAAACGUUGGAUGCCAGGUGUGGGAUCGAGAGAUUCCGUGCCACAGCUAACGCGAUAAGCAUCCCGCCUGGGGACUACGGCCGCAAGGCUAAAACUCAAACGAAUUGACGGGACCCCGCACAAGCAGCGGAGCGUGUGGUUUAAUUCGAUGCUACACGAAGAACCUUACCUGGGAUGGACAUGGAGGUGGUAGGGAGCCGAAAGGCGACCGACUCGCAAGAGAGCCUUCACAGGUGCUGCAUGGCUGUCGUCAGCUCGUGCCGUGAGGUGUCGGGUUAAGUCCCGUAACGAGCGCAACCCCUGCUCUUAGUUACAAGUGUCUAAGGGGACUGCCGGCGAUAAGCCGGAGGAAGGUGGGGAUGACGUCAAGUCAGCAUGGCCUUUAUAUCCAGGGCUACACACACGCUACAAUGGGCGGUACAACGGGCCGCGAAGCCGUGAGGCGGAGCGAAUCCUGCCAAAGCCGUUCAUAGUUCGGAUUGCAGGCUGCAACCCGCCUGCAUGAAGUUGGAGUUGCUAGUAACCGCGCGUCAGCCAUAGUGCGGUGAAUACGUUCCCGGGGUUUGUACUCACCGCCCGUCA
This 899-nucleotide ribosomal RNA is filed under the name uncultured bacterium. RNAcentral's name for it is "bacterial SSU rRNA". It matches the Rfam family "Bacterial small subunit ribosomal RNA", at positions 495 to 1399 of the family's 1533-position model. The record is from RNAcentral.